This 1530-nucleotide ribosomal RNA is filed under the name Salmonella enterica subsp. arizonae. Its description in RNAcentral is "bacterial SSU rRNA". It matches the Rfam family "Bacterial small subunit ribosomal RNA". The record is from RNAcentral. Lineage: Bacteria; Pseudomonadati; Pseudomonadota; Gammaproteobacteria; Enterobacterales; Enterobacteriaceae.
AGAGUUUGAUCAUGGCUCAGAUUGAACGCUGGCGGCAGGCCUAACACAUGCAAGUCGAACGGUAACAGGAAGCAGCUUGCUGCUUCGCUGACGAGUGGCGGACGGGUGAGUAAUGUCUGGGAAACUGCCUGAUGGAGGGGGAUAACUACUGGAAACGGUAGCUAAUACCGCAUAACGUCGCAGGACCAAAGAGGGGGACCUUCGGGCCUCUUGCCAUCAGAUGUGCCCAGAUGGGAUUAGCUUGUUGGUGAGGUAACGGCUCACCAAGGCGACGAUCCCUAGCUGGUCUGAGAGGAUGACCAGCCACACUGGAACUGAGACACGGUCCAGACUCCUACGGGAGGCAGCAGUGGGGAAUAUUGCACAAUGGGCGCAAGCCUGAUGCAGCCAUGCCGCGUGUAUGAAGAAGGCCUUCGGGUUGUAAAGUACUUUCAGCGGGGAGGAAGGUGUUGUGGUUAAUAACCACAGCAAUUGACGUUACCCGCAGAAGAAGCACCGGCUAACUCCGUGCCAGCAGCCGCGGUAAUACGGAGGGUGCAAGCGUUAAUCGGAAUUACUGGGCGUAAAGCGCACGCAGGCGGUCUGUCAAGUCGGAUGUGAAAUCCCCGGGCUCAACCUGGGAACUGCAUUCGAAACUGGCAGGCUUGAGUCUUGUAGAGGGGGGUAGAAUUCCAGGUGUAGCGGUGAAAUGCGUAGAGAUCUGGAGGAAUACCGGUGGCGAAGGCGGCCCCCUGGACAAAGACUGACGCUCAGGUGCGAAAGCGUGGGGAGCAAACAGGAUUAGAUACCCUGGUAGUCCACGCCGUAAACGAUGUCUACUUGGAGGUUGUGCCCUUGAGGCGUGGCUUCCGGAGCUAACGCGUUAAGUAGACCGCCUGGGGAGUACGGCCGCAAGGUUAAAACUCAAAUGAAUUGACGGGGGCCCGCACAAGCGGUGGAGCAUGUGGUUUAAUUCGAUGCAACGCGAAGAACCUUACCUGGUCUUGACAUCCACAGAACCCUGUAGAGAUACGGGGGUGCCUUCGGGAGCUGUGAGACAGGUGCUGCAUGGCUGUCGUCAGCUCGUGUUGUGAAAUGUUGGGUUAAGUCCCGCAACGAGCGCAACCCUUAUCCUUUGUUGCCAGCGGUCCGGCCGGGAACUCAAAGGAGACUGCCAGUGAUAAACUGGAGGAAGGUGGGGAUGACGUCAAGUCAUCAUGGCCCUUACGACCAGGGCUACACACGUGCUACAAUGGCGCAUACAAAGAGAAGCGACCUCGCGAGAGCAAGCGGACCUCAUAAAGUGCGUCGUAGUCCGGACUGGAGUCUGCAACUCGACUCCAUGAAGUCGGAAUCGCUAGUAAUCGUGGAUCAGAAUGCCACGGUGAAUACGUUCCCGGGCCUUGUACACACCGCCCGUCACACCAUGGGAGUGGGUUGCAAAAGAAGUAGGUAGCUUAACCUUCGGGAGGGCGCUUACCACUUUGUGAUUCAUGACUGGGGUGAAGUCGUAACAAGGUAACCGUAGGGGAACCUGCGGUUGGAUCACCU